This 348-nucleotide ribosomal RNA is filed under the name uncultured bacterium. RNAcentral describes it as "partial 16S ribosomal RNA". It matches the Rfam family "Bacterial small subunit ribosomal RNA", at positions 338 to 703 of the family's 1533-position model. The record is from RNAcentral.
CCUACGGGUGGCAGCAGUGGGGAAUAUUGCACAAUGGGGGAAACCCUGAUGCAGCGACGCCGCGUGAAGGAAGAAGGAUUUCGGGAUGUAAACUUCUAUCAGCAGGGAAGAAAAUGACGGUACCUGACUAAGAAGCCCCGGCUAACGACGUGCCAGCAGCCGCGGUAAUACGUAGGGGGCAAGCGUUAUCCGGAUUUACUGGGUGGAAAGGGAGCGUAGGCGGUUUAGCAAGUCAGAAGUGAAAGCCCGGGGCUCAACUCCGGGACUGCUUUUGAAACUGUUGAACGAGAUUGCAGGAGAGGUAAGUGGACUUCCUUUUGUAGCGGUGAACUGCGUCGAUCUUAGGAG